This is a long non-coding RNA of Drosophila sulfurigaster albostrigata, 598 nucleotides long. RefSeq lists it as uncharacterized. The record is from RefSeq and is a predicted model, not a curated record. Lineage: Eukaryota; Metazoa; Arthropoda; Insecta; Diptera; Drosophilidae. The transcript has 2 exons.
GGCAAAACCCAGAAUUUAUUUUAAUGCGACAGCAAUUACUUGACGAUCUUAAAGGUCAAAAGGAGCUUCAUUUACGAAAACAAUUACUAGAUGAACUUAAGGACCAAGAAGAACUUAAUUUGGUUGAAGUCCUUGGAGAAAGAGCAGAAAGCAGCUCAACUCCGAGAUCGUCUUAACUUCUACGUGUCUUGUCCCAUAUGUAAUUCUUCGGACCAUCGCAUGGUUGCGUUGUUAUGUGGUCACAUUUUCGGUGAAUCAUGCGCACGACAAUGCCUGCAAAGAAAUUCAAAUUGUCCAGAAUGCCUAGCUAAUUUUUCAGAAAGUAAUAUCCGUAAACAAUUUCCCCGUUAGUAAUUUGUUCAAUCUGUAUUACGCGUAGUAAAUUUUAACAAUACAAAAGAACUAAUAAACAAUUUUUAAUUUCUUAUCUAUGUACAUAUGUAUGUAUGUAUAUAUCAUUAGCUUCCUCUGACUCAUUGAUUUACUGAUUGAACUAUCAAGCCAAUGGCCAAGAUAAUCAGUAUAUUUCUCUCUAAUCUUCAGAAUAUACAGAGUUUACACAAUUGAAUAAAAUUAUGAGUAUUAAUAAAAUUUCGAA